AUUGAACGCUGGCGGAAUGCUUUACACAUGCAAGUCGAACGGCAGCAUAGGUGCUUGCACCUGAUGGCGAGUGGCGAACGGGUGAGUAAUACAUCGGAACGUGCCCAGUCGUGGGGGAUAACGUAGCGAAAGUUAGGCUAAUCCCGAAUACGAUCUAAGGAUGAAAGCGGGGGACCGUAAGGCCUCGCGCGAUUGGAGCGGCCGAUGUCAGAUUAGGUAGUUGGUGAGGUAAAGGCUACCCAAGCCGACGAUCUGUAGCUGGGCUGAGAGGACGACCAGCCACACUGGAACUGAGACACGGCCCAGACUCCUACGGGAGGCAGCAGUGUGGAAUUUUGGACAAUGGACGCAAGUCUGAUCCAGCCAUUCCUCGUGCAGGACGAAGGCCUUCGGGUUGUAAACUGCUUUUGUACGGAACGAAAAAGCUCUUACUAAUACUAGGAGUCCAUGACGGUACCGUAAGAAUAAGCACCGGCUAACUACGUGCCAGCAGCCGCAGUAA
RNAcentral lists this ribosomal RNA (502 nucleotides) under uncultured bacterium. RNAcentral's name for it is "partial 16S ribosomal RNA". It matches the Rfam family "Bacterial small subunit ribosomal RNA", at positions 30 to 523 of the family's 1533-position model. The record is from RNAcentral.